This 296-nucleotide ribosomal RNA is filed under the name uncultured bacterium. RNAcentral describes it as "partial 16S ribosomal RNA". It matches the Rfam family "Bacterial small subunit ribosomal RNA", at positions 335 to 630 of the family's 1533-position model. The record is from RNAcentral.
GCCCUACGGGAGGCAGCAGUGAGGAAUAUUGGUCAAUGGGCGGGAGCCUGAACCAGCCAAACCGCGUGAGGGAAGAAGGUACAGCGUAUCGUAAACCUCUUUUGUCAGGGAACAAAGGCGGGGACUAGUACCCGGAUGAGGGUAACUGAAGAAAAAGCAUCGGCUAACUCCGUGCCAGCAGCCGCGGUAAUAAGGAGGAUGCGAGCGUUAUCCGGAUUUAUUGGGGUUAAAGGGUGCGCAGGCGGCCUGUUAAGGCAGCGGUAAAAGCACGGGGCUCAAACCCGGCGAGCCGUUGA